This 253-nucleotide ribosomal RNA is filed under the name uncultured bacterium. Its description in RNAcentral is "partial 16S ribosomal RNA". It matches the Rfam family "Bacterial small subunit ribosomal RNA", at positions 524 to 776 of the family's 1533-position model. The record is from RNAcentral.
UACGUAGGGUGCAAGCGUUGUCCGGAAUUAUUGGGCGUAAAGAGCUCGUAGGCGGUCUGUCGCGUCGGCUGUGAAAACUCGGGGCUCAACCCCGAGCCUGCAGUCGAUACGGGCAGACUAGAGUGCGGUAGGGGAGACUGGAAUUCCUGGUGUAGCGGUGAAAUGCGCAGAUAUCAGGAGGAACACCGGUGGCGAAGGCGGGUCUCUGGACAGUUCCUGACGCUGAGGCACGAAGGUCAGGGGAGCAAACGGG